Molecule: long non-coding RNA, 1315 nt
Organism: Mangifera indica (mango)
Lineage: Eukaryota; Viridiplantae; Streptophyta; Magnoliopsida; Sapindales; Anacardiaceae
Exons: 8
Source: RefSeq, a predicted model, not a curated record
AUGAAGAUGAUCGUUUAGAAUCCAAACGAUAAAGUAAAGCAUCCACAAGUUCAAGUUGUGACUAUCACUAUGUGCCGGCUUUUUGGUUUUACCUGUAUCACUAAUCACUGUAAUGAUGCAAACCGAUGGUUCAUGACUCCGUCUGCCCCUGGUCACACGGAAGCUGUGCUUUCUGUAACUUUUAGUCCUUACGGGCGACAAUUGGCAAGUGGUUCGGGUGAUACCACCGUUCGAAUAUGAGACCUCAAUUCCCAGACACCAAUGUACAUAUCCACAGGACACGAGAAUUGGGUCCUUUGUAUAGUGUGGUCACCCGAUGGAAAGCAUCUUAUGAGUGGAAGCAAGGCUAGAGAACUUAAAUGUUGGGAUCCAGAGACAGGAAAGCCAUGAGGCAAUCCACUCACUGGUCACAAGAAAUGGAUUACUGGUAUCUCUUGGGAACCAAUCCACUUGAAUUCUCCAAUUUGCUUUCUAAGUUCUAGCAAAGACGGGGAUGCAUGCACAUGGGACAUUACUUUGAGGAAAUGUGUUAUUUGUCUUAAUGGCCAUACACUUGCAGUGACUUGUGUGAAAUGGGGUGGGAAGUGAUAUACACAGGGUGGACCUUUCUUAUAUUCUUAGAACUGUGAUUAAACAAUUUUUUCCUUCUCUCAGGAUUGUACUAUAAAAGUCUGGGAAACCACACAAGGAAACUGAUUUGUGAACCGAAGGGUCAUGGACAUUGGUUUUUACCCAUGCAUUGAGCACCAAAUAUGUUCUUUGGACGGGAGCUUUUGAUCAUACUGUCAAACAGUAUUCAUCUCCUGAGGAAAUGAAGAAGGCAACUUACUUGUUUUUGUUGCGCUGAAGAGGUACAACAAAAUGAAAGGGAAUGCUCCUGAAAGGUUUGUUUCAGGAUCCAAUGAUUUUACCCUGUUCCUCUGGGAACCUGCUGUUAGCAAACACCCCAAAACUUGUAUGACAGGUUAUCAACAGAGAAAAAAAUGCAAGGGGCAGGAGGAUUCCUGCUGGAGAAAAGGGAGAGAGAAGUGGGCCAAAUGUAGCAGCUCCUUUGGAUGACACCUGGCAAGCUAAUAUUGUAGGGAAUGAGUGAGUGAUGGAAAUUUGUAUAUAGGAGAGGGAAGAGAGUGUGGGGCGGCACCUAUUGAGAGAGAAAAAUUAUUGUUAAGCUAUUUGUAUUUGGGAGCACCAGCCUCAAGUAGCCAGAUUUUAUGUUAAUCUUUACUGUUCCUGUGAAUGUCUUUUUCUUGUUAUUUUCUUAAUGAAUGACUUAAAGUUGAUGGAUAUAAUAUGGUUUAUGAAUACCUUCUUUCCC